This 325-nucleotide long non-coding RNA is filed under the name Chinchilla lanigera (long-tailed chinchilla). RNAcentral's name for it is "lncRNA (ENSCLAG00000026275.1)". Lineage: Eukaryota; Metazoa; Chordata; Mammalia; Rodentia; Chinchillidae. The record is from RNAcentral.
CUCCCGAGUGCUGGGAUUACAGGUGUGUGCCACCAUGCCCGGCCUUUAAACUUACUAUUUUUAUAAAAAUACAUUUGGACUAAGUUUGAUAAGCAAUGGAGAACUACAGAAGAGUUUCAAAGAAGACAGCCAAUGAUGCUAUUGACAGCGCUUGUCAACUGAUGCGCUGCCAGAAAAACAGAGGUCUCCAGGCUCUGAGUCCCACCAGUGGAGUGUGACAGGAGCAGAUCUCAGACUCUUCUCAUCAGCCGCACUGUCCCAGUGUGAUGGACCCAGAAACUGAGCCCAGUUGACUGUGCUGGGACAGGAAUUCAGCGGACACCGA